Molecule: ribosomal RNA, 458 nt
Filed under: uncultured bacterium
Lineage: Bacteria
Description: partial 16S ribosomal RNA
Rfam family: Bacterial small subunit ribosomal RNA
Source: RNAcentral
CCUACGGGUGGCAGCAGUGAGGAAUAUUGGUCAAUGGACGAGAGUCUGAACCAGCCAAUAGCGUGAAGGAUGACUGCCCUAUGGGUUGUAAACUUCUUUUGUCAAGGGACAAAAUCAGGCUCGAGAGCCUGACCGAGGGUACUUGAAGAAAAAGCAUCGGCUAACUCCGUGCCAGCAGCCGCGGUAAUACGGAGGAUGCGAGCGUUAUCCGGAUUUAUUGGGUUUAAAGGGUGCGUAGGCGGACUGUUAAGUCAGCGGUAAAAGCCCGGGGCUCAACCCCGGCGAGCCGUUGAAACUGGCUGUCUUGAGAUGUCGAGAGGUAUGCGGAAUGCGCAGUGUAGCGGUGAAAUGCUUAGAUAUUGCGCAGAACUCCGAUUGCGAAGGCAGCAUACCGGCGGCGAUCUGACGCUGAGGCACGAAAGCGUGGGUAUCGAACAGGAUUAGAUACCCUUGUAGUC